RNAcentral lists this ribosomal RNA (119 nucleotides) under Naegleria gruberi. The record is from RNAcentral. Lineage: Eukaryota; Heterolobosea; Eutetramitea; Acrasida; Naegleriidae.
GGCUACGGCCAUAUCACGAUGAAUGCACCUCAUCCCGUCCGAUUUGAGAAGUUAAACAUCGUCGAGCCACAUCAGUACUGAGGUUGGAGACAACUUGGGAACCUGUGGUGCUGUAGUCU